AGUCCAUACUUGGUUGAUGUAUAGGGAGUUCAUUUCAGAUGUCAUGGUUUCAAGUCAUCUAUCAGAGUCUCUACUCAUGACAAUUUCUGAAUAGGUCAAAAAAAAUAUUAUUCACAAUAAUGUAUGGUGUAUCGUCAUUCUCAAUGACAAACCUAUAUUUGAGUGGUACAUUACACACUCAGAAUGACCUUCGAUGAAGAGGGUGUAUCAUAGUAGUGCCUCAUCAAUGAAUACAUCUAAUCGAGAAUCAACUUGUGGACACUCCAUAGGUU
This 272-nucleotide long non-coding RNA is filed under the name Elaeis guineensis (African oil palm). Its description in RNAcentral is "long non-coding RNA (EGUI_LNC047888)". Lineage: Eukaryota; Viridiplantae; Streptophyta; Magnoliopsida; Arecales; Arecaceae. The record is from RNAcentral.